UAUCANUAAGCGGAGGAAAAGAAACCAACAGGGAUUGCCCCAGUAACGGCGAGUGAAGCGGCAACAGCUCAAAUUUGAAAUCUGGCGUCUUCGGGCGUCCGAGUUGUAAUUUGCAGAGGAUGCUUUUGGCGACGCGCCUUCCGAGUUCCCUGGAACGGGACGCCGCAGAGGGUGAGAGCCCCGUACGGUGUGGCGCCGAGCCCCUGUAAAGCUCCUUCUACGAGUCGAGUAGUUUGGGAAUCCUGCUCUAAAUGGGAGGUAAACUCCUUCUAAAGCUAAAUAUAGGCCAGAGACCGAUAGCGCACAAGUAGAGUGAUCGAAAGAUGAAAAGCACUUUGAAAAGAGAGUUAAACAGCACGUGAAAUUGUUGAAAGGGAAGCGCUUAUGACCAGACUUGGGCCCGGUGGUUCAGCCGUCCCUCGCGGGCGGUGCACUCCGCCGGCCCAGGCCAGCAUCAGUUGCCGGUUGGGGAGAAAGGCAGCGGGAAUGUGGCUCUUCGGAGUGUUAUAGCCCGCCGUCAUGCCCUCCCGGCGACUGAGGUUAGCGUUCUUCACGGAUGCUGGCGUAAUGGUUAUUAGCGACCCGUCUUGAAACACGGACCAAGGAGUCGUCCUGCUAUGCGAGUGUUUGGGUGUCAAACCCCUACGCGAAAUGAAAGUAAACGGAGGUGAGAGCUUUAAACGGCGCAUCAUCGACCGAUCCUGAUGUUUACGGAUGGAUUUGAGUACGAGCAUAGCGGGCCGGACCCGAAAGAAGGUGAACUAUGCUUGGAUAGGGCAAAGCCAGAGGAAACUCUGGUGGAGGCUCGCAGCGGUUCUGACGUGCAAAUCGAUCGUCAAAUCUGAGCAUGGGGGCGAAAGACUAAUCGAACCUUCUAGUAGCUGGUU
RNAcentral lists this ribosomal RNA (887 nucleotides) under Halosphaeria appendiculata. RNAcentral's name for it is "LSU rRNA". It matches the Rfam family "Eukaryotic large subunit ribosomal RNA", at positions 41 to 956 of the family's 3401-position model. The record is from RNAcentral. Lineage: Eukaryota; Fungi; Ascomycota; Sordariomycetes; Microascales; Halosphaeriaceae.